UGAUCUGCAGAGUACGAAAAAGCAACAAUGGCGUCCGGUAACAGAGUAGAUCUAAGCGGUAACCCCGUUAAGCCAAUCACCAUUUGCAUGAUUGGUGCUGGUGGGUUCAUUGGUUCUCACCUUUGUGAGAAGCUUAUGGCUGAAACCCCUCAUAAGGUGCUUGCUCUUGAUGUUUAUAAUGACAAGAUUAAGCACCUUCUUGAGCCUGAUACGCUCCCUUGGGCCGAUCGUAUUCAGUUUCACCGUCUCAAUAUCAAGAAUGAUUCCAGGCUUGAGAGCCUCAUCCGAAUGGCAGAUCUGGUUCGACUUCUGUGAUUCCUUCUUUAUUUGUUACUUGUUUUUCUGAGUUCUUGAAAGAAUUGUUGAAUUUUUGUUCUGGGUUGUUUGAAGAAUUGAUCCUUCUUUGGGUGUACUGUGGGUUCUGAGCCAUGCUCAUUCUUAGUUCUUAUGGGUCUUUUAUUAUUUCUUUUAUUUUUAUCUUCGUGUUUCGUGAUUGGAAUUUUGCUUGCGUGAGGUAGA
Molecule: long non-coding RNA, 519 nt
Filed under: Cucumis sativus (cucumber)
Lineage: Eukaryota; Viridiplantae; Streptophyta; Magnoliopsida; Cucurbitales; Cucurbitaceae
Description: long non-coding RNA (CSAT_LNC002284)
Source: RNAcentral